GCUCAUACAGUAAAACAAAAAAAGUUGCUUAUUCACAUGUUCAUAGCACUAUUCACUAUUUGCAUUUGCUCUUAUACUUAUUUGUGUACUUGAUUAUUACUUGUCUCCACCACUAGAAUGUAAACCUCAUAAGAGCAAGAACCAUGGCUUUACACCUUGAUGUUGUCCCUCAUUUCUCCCCCCAAUUAUUUGAUAUGGACAACUGUUGUUUUCUGGAAUGUAUGGAAACAGUCUUGAAACCAUGGCCUUAAAUCCCCCUCUGAUCUACUUUUUAAGCCAUCAUGCUAUUGAUUUGGCAGAGUAUGGACUUGGCUUACUUUCUACUCUGCUACAACAAACAGACUUUGCCUAGAAAUGUCCCAUUUUUGUAAUUCAUUUAAAAAAGAUAAUUAUAAUAGUAAGAAAAGUCAUUAUUAUCAAAGUAAAUAUCUCAUUCUCUUUCUUAAGAUGUACACAGUAUCAACUUUUACACAAAAGGUUCCGUAUACUGUAAGAUUUGCAGUAAGUUGCUGACCCCUGUCCUAAAACUUUCAGGUUGGUUUUGCCCUCCAGCUCAAUCAGUUAUUCAAUAAUUUCAUCUGUGAUUUAGGCAAAAAUAUGACUUUCUUCCUAGUGGGAAAUAAAGCACUUGAAGGGCUGCAGCCAGAGACCCUGUGCUAGCCUAGGACCAAGUGCAAACUAAUGCCAUCCAUUUAGAGCAAAAGAAAUAGGCAGAGUCCUUCCUCUGUGACCAGUGAAUUUUGGAUGCACUGCAGUCUUCUGCCUUCAUUAUUCAGAGUAUCUAGAAGUAGAUGACACAAUGUCAGAUCUUCCACAAGAACCCUUGCCACUAUUCCACAGAGUAACUCUCAUGAUCAAGGUGCCUGGUCCUACUUAAGCUAACAAAAAAUUGCUUUCACAAAACAAUCAACUAAUCAAAAAUCCUUGGAUGUUACAAAUCAUUUUUCCUCUGCCCUGAGCAAUAUUUCUAUGGGUAUUUCUAUAUAGGAUUAUCUACAGUUAAUAUUUAUAAAGUAAGAUUUCAUUGGAGUAUAUUCGCCUCUCAGUAUAAUCUGAUACAUAUCUUGAUUUUUUCUUUUAUAAUAUUGCUCUUUUAUUAUUCUUGAUCAUUGACAUUGCCAUAUAAAUGGUAGAAUCAACUUGUAAAUUUCUACCAAAAUGCCAGUUGGAAUUUCUAUCAGAAUUGCAUUGGAUCUGGAGAUCAAUUUAUGAAGAACUGACUUUUUAAACAUAACAACUCUUCUGAUCCAUGACAAGGUUUAUCUCCCCACUAAUUUAAUUCUUUCAUAAUUUCUUUUUUUUAUUUUUAAAAGAAAUCAUCUGAUUUGUAAACAUACACUCAAUUUCUUGAUAUUUCUUCUUAACUUAUGGCCUAAAUCUUGAUUAUUUUGCUUAAUUUUAAUACCUUCCCAUAAGAGCAAAUUUAGUAAAUUAAUACACCUUCCAGUUGUUGGCAUUUUGAGAGUAUUGGCUCAAAGAAAGUGUCAGGAAAAUGGGCAAGAACACUGCAAUCUUGGAAAAGACAUGGAGUUAUGUAACAAAAACUGGGCUGAGACAUGGUUUUAUUUCUCACUAGCUGUGUGAGUUUGGGAAAGUCAUUUAACCCAUCUGUGCCUCAGUUUCUUAAUUAAUGACUGACUUGCCUCCCCCACAGCGCAAUUGUACAAACCGAGGGAAAUGAAAGUUUUAAUUUAUCCCUGCAGCAUCCUGAUGGCUAAGAAAAAAAUUAUAAUCUAAAGGUUUAGCACACCUAGAUGGAAAUAUGUUUUCUGAGGGAAUAUCAUAAAGAGAGGGAGGGGCUGGGAUUGCCACCCUUCAGACACCUCUCACCCUCUUGGUCAAGGAGCAGUAUCCAUUUGUGAAGAAAGGAGGGAGGCCAAUUGGGGAUGCACAGAUACAACCACUGGGGGAAUAACUGUGGGUUGAACAGCUGCAUAUAGAAUUGUAGUUUGACAGGUUUUCCUGCCCAUUAGUACUUUGAAGAUGUCAUCCCAUUGUCUUCUGACCUCUAUAAUUGCCACUGAGAGAUCUGCUGUCAGUCUGCUUAUCCUUCCACGGACUCAAGUUUCUUCAAUCUGAAGAUACAUGUCUUUCUCCAGGGACAUGUGGAAAAAAAAAAGAUGUUAUACAACCAUCAAAGUGGCAAAAAUAAAAAAAAUCAAGUAUUGGCAAAGAUGUGGGGAAAAUUCUCAUAAGCUACUGAUGAGAAUUUAUAAAUUAUUAUGACACCUUUGGGUUGCAAUCUGGGGAUACUGGCAAAGCAGAAAAUUGUACAACCUGUGAUCAAGCAAUAAUAAUUUUAGGCACCCAUCCUAGAGAAAACUUGAAUUCAUAGAAAAAGUAGGUACACGUAAAUCUGUUCAAGGAAUCAUUGUUUGGCAUUGAAAAUAGGAGAGAGAUCAUGAGAAAUUACCAAAAUGUCCACCAAUAGAAUGAGUGAAUCACCUGUGGUAUAUUUAUAAAUAAAAAUAUUAAAUAGAAGGUAAAACAAAUCAGACAUACACACAUUAGAUAGAUAAAUUUAGAGGACAAAAUAAGGAACAUGAAAAGCAAAUAGUAGAUGGCAAAUGUAAUAUAAUAUACUAUGCAUAAAUUUUAACAACACACAAUAUUAUAUUGCAUAUUGCCCAAUAAGCAGAAGCCAUAAGGUCUCACACUUUUCUUAUAAUGCAAUAGAAUAAAAAUGACAACAAAGUAAAAGGGUAUCCCAAAAAUAAAACUAUCCUUUUGGAAAAAAAAAGAUUUAAAAUAAUUCCUGGUUUGAAGAAAUAACAAAUUAAAAGCUAUAUAUAAACGGUUAACAAUAUUAGGUGGACAUAUUUGUUUGAAGAGAUAGGUGAAAGAUAGUUGAAAAGCCUGGGGGUAUAUUCAAGGUUAUAUGUCUUAGAAAACAAAAAUACUUGUUUGGGUUCAGUUUUGGAUCUGGGCUUGUUCUUGUGGCUUCUGAUGAUUUCUGACUUGGGGAAAAAUGGGGAAGAGUUGAAAUACGUCCUUCCACCCAAACCUUUGUUUAGUAAUAGGUAGGAAAAUGAAGAAGAAAAUAGAAUGUUGCAGAAUGUGGAGGGAUGUAAAAUGGACAGUACUAGGGUAGAGGGGAAGUCAGAUUAGAGGAAAGAAAGAGCAUCAGGAACAGUCUUGUGCUAGGAGCUGGUGUGGCCAAGCACAGUCGGAUGCCCAAAGAUCCAACAAGGCCAUGGCUCUGUGUCCUUGAGUGGGCACAACCAUUCCUAGCCAAGUUUAAGAGGCAAGUAAAAAUAUAGGGGCAAUGUCAGAUGAAGUCUUGUUCAGGGUAUGGGGCUAGGAUGAGAGAGAAUGCCACAGAGUAUGAAGGAAGAGUGAUAGAUCCAGAUGAGAUACAGCUCAGAGUGCCACGCCCCCAGAAAGAGGAAUCAGGCAAGUACUGUCCCAAGGCAGCUGGAGGGUGAGGGCUGAGUGCCCUGGCUUCCUCACUUGGGGAGACCAUGGGUCUCUGUAGAAAUUCCAAUAUAAAGGCAGGGAAAUUUGACUGCAUGGAGUCUUCAGGUAGAAAUGUUUCUCUUGCCUAAAUUCAGGUGCUAAAUAAACAACAAAAUGGUAACCUCUACUAUGAAGUGUUUCCAAUGAUGGGAUAUCUGAGGCCAUUACAUUCCUGGGAAUAACAUGGUGAGGUGCAGGGUGGUGGUGGUGGUGAAACAUACGACAGACCACUGUAAGUGAGAACAAAUUACUGGCCCAGCCCAACCCACACCAAAUAAGAAAUUUAAUAUCCCUUUGGCCUGUUUUAGAUUUUGGCAAAGCCAGGCCCAUAGUGCUUGCUGGGCUCUCUCUUCCACAUCAUCCAGAAGACACACAUUUGCUAUGGAAUGAUUGUGGAGGUGAGAGUAUAGUGCAUAUUAAUUCAUGCAAAAAGUUAGAUAUUAGCCCAGAAAUGUUAGUAACAAGAAACUACUGAAUUCUCUGUUUGUCUGUUGUGGAAAUAAAACCUUCUGGGGAUGAAUC
Molecule: long non-coding RNA, 3978 nt
Filed under: Homo sapiens (human)
Lineage: Eukaryota; Metazoa; Chordata; Mammalia; Primates; Hominidae
Description: non-protein coding lnc-RPSA-2:8
Source: RNAcentral